Molecule: ribosomal RNA, 484 nt
Filed under: Macrorhynchia phoenicea
Lineage: Eukaryota; Metazoa; Cnidaria; Hydrozoa; Leptothecata; Aglaopheniidae
Description: partial 16S ribosomal RNA
Rfam family: Bacterial large subunit ribosomal RNA
Source: RNAcentral
AAACUAAAUGGCUGCAGUAACUAUGACUGUAUGAAUGUAGCAUAAUCACUCGCCACUUAAUUAGUGGAUAGUAUGAAUGGUUAAACGAAAAUUUCUCUGUCUUAUGUAAUUAAAAAAAAAUUUAAAUCAUAGUUAAGAUGCUAUGUAAAAUUGUAAGACGAAAAGACCCUAUAAAGCUUAACUAUAAUCUUUUAUAAUAUAUAAUUAAACAACAAUAAAAUAAAGGAUUGGUAGUUUCAUUGGGGCGAUGGUCUCUAAAAAAAAACAGAGAUAAACUAUAUUAAUAAUAAAAAAUUUACUGUUUAAUAAAUAAAUUUAACAGUUACUAAGUAGGUUAUAAAGACCCAUUAUUAUCUAUAAAAAGAAAUAAUGAUCAAAAAAUAAAAGCUACUUUAGGGAUAACAGGAUAAUAUUUUCUAAGAGUCCUUAUCGAAGAAAAAGUUUAUCACCUCGAUGUUGAAUUAAGAUAACCUAAUGACGCAGC